Molecule: small nuclear RNA, 107 nt
Organism: Pan troglodytes (chimpanzee)
Lineage: Eukaryota; Metazoa; Chordata; Mammalia; Primates; Hominidae
Source: Rfam
GUGCUCGCUUCAGCAACACAUAUAUUAAAAUUGGAACGAUAUAGAGAAGAUUAGCAUGGCCGUUAAAUAAAAAAUUAAAAAAAAACAUUGAAUUGUAUUUUAUCUUU